GCGGGGCCCGCCGCGCGCCUGGGGGGCCGCGCGCUCCGGCCGCCGCGCGCCCGGGAGAGCGAGCGUCGCGCGCGCACGCCCGACACAGAGCUUUACUAUCUGGCUCCCCUCUCGCCUCCCUCCUCGCCGGGCAUUCACACGGCUCUCCGACAUCACCAGCAUCCCCAGCCAAGGCUCUUUUUUUUUCUACCCCGCUCCUCUUAUCAGUACCUGCGGGCUGGGGGGCGGGGGGAGACGGAGGGGCGGGAGGAGAACGGGAAGAGGGGAAGGCAGGAGCCCCAGCCUCCCGAGGCGGCCGCGGGCGCCCGCGGAGUGAACCCGCCGCCCCGGCGCAUCGGCCGCGCCGCCGCCUCUGCUCGGCGCGCUUCCUGGCCGAUUGCUUUGCUGGGGGCGGGGGGAGGGGGGGGCAGGUCUGGAAAAACAGCUCCAGUGGCUAUGAAGCCACUUCCUUUUUUUUUUUUUUAAUUCCUUAGCGUCUGUCUUCGGGGGGCUCUCCCCGCUCCCGCCGGCGCCUCGGUGGGAGGUUGGAUUCACUUGGCUACGGCGUAGGCUCCGGGUUCCUGGGGGGCUUUUAUUCCUCCAGCCCUCCCCUCUUUGAUUCUCUCUCCCCCCACCCCCGAUCCCCGCGUUCUUUUACUUCUCUUAUGUGCGCGUUAAAAAAAAAAAAAUCCAUCCUGAUUUUCUAAGCUCAGCCGGGGAAAGAUGGGCUCCGGGGCUCGGGACCGAAGGGGCGUCUCUCCGUCGUUGUUGCUGGGACGCGUGUCUGCGCUGCUGCCUUAGGCGCCCCGAGCGUUCCGAGAGGAAGAACAGUGGAAGAGACUGCAGCCUAAAGACUUUUAAAAUUAACUUGGCAUCACUUUUCUCAGCUCAAAGGCUAAGCAAAAAAGCAGUGUCAUUUAUUCUAAGAAAUAACUUCUUAAAGGUUAAAGCUGAAAAAGAUUCAAGUUACUUUUGGAUAACAACUUACAGAGGCCAAAUGACAUAGGAUGAAGGCUGUUCGUAACCUGCUGAUUUAUAUAUUUUCCACCUAUCUCCUGGUUAUGUUUGGAUUUAAUGCUGCCCAAGACUUCUGGUGUUCAACUUUGGUGAAGGGAGUCAUUUAUGGAUCGUAUUCUGUAAGUGAAAUGUUUCCCAAAAACUUUACAAACUGCACUUGGACGCUGGAAAAUCCAGAUCCAACCAAAUAUAGCAUUUACCUGAAAUUUUCCAAAAAGGACCUUAGCUGCUCUAACUUUUCCCUCCUGGCUUAUCAGUUUGAUCAUUUUUCCCAUGAAAAAAUCAAGGAUCUUUUAAGAAAGAAUCAUUCUAUAAUGCAACUCUGCGAAUCCAAGAAUGCUUUCGUUUUUCUACAGUAUGACAAAAAUUUUAUUCAAAUACGUCGGGUCUUUCCAACCGAUUUCCCAGGAUUACAGAAAAAAGGGGAAGAAGAUCAGAAAUCUUUUUUUGAAUUUUUGGUGUUGAACAAGGUGAGCCCGAGCCAGUUUGGUUGUCAUGUGUUAUGCACUUGGUUGGAGAGCUGCUUAAAGUCAGAAAAUGGGAGAACGGAGUCCUGCGGGAUCAUGUAUACAAAGUGCACCUGCCCUCAGCACUUGGGAGAGUGGGGGCUCGACGACCAGGCGCUGGUUUUGUUAAAUAACGUGGUGUUGCCCCUGAAUGAGCAGACUGAGGGCUGCCUGACCCAAGAGCUGCAAACCACCCAGGUCUGCAAUCUUACCAGGGAGGCCAAGCGACCGCCCAAAGAAGUUUGAAGAGAAACAUAUGCAAAGUCUUUCCAAGAAAGAGGAAGAAUAUUUGGAUGUCAUUUCGAGCUUCUGUUACUUAUUCCUAAUUAUGAUCUAUAUGUAUAGUAAUAGUAGAAUACUACUAAAAUUUUAGGCCUGGCCAAGUAACAGGCCCUAAUUUUUACUUUUGCCAUUUCAGAAUUUUGUCAAGCAAUUCAGGGACUGACUCAGAUAUGUAGUAUUAAUGAAAACUCCAUUAUAUGGCAACUUUUUUUGGAGGCAGUAAAUUAAAAUAUUAACAGAAAAAUCUGUGUGUACACAUGUGUAUCAUUCCAAUUUUAGUGUUAGUUGCAGAUAAAUGUGCUACACAUUAGUUUUCUUCAAAACUGAGAUGGGAAUUUCAUUUAUUUAGAUUCCAACUUCAUGUAUUCCUAUACUUCAUUUCCUAAUAGAAGUGGUUUUAUUGUUAAACGAAAUACGUUAGUAAAUACAGGGUUCCUUAGAGUCAGUUUGACCUGUGUUACCUACAAAUACAGAUCAAGUCAUCUGGCUCUUGGAUCUGAAAUCAUAGUUUCUUAAAAAAUCAACAUUUGUUACUUUUUUGAAAUACCAUGAGCUGGGUUUGAAUCCACACCUUCACCUGAGAACCUGUUCUGUGUCCCCACUUCCCUUCUUGGGUUGUUAGAAAUGCUUAUCCUUCAGGGUACAGGAGAACAGAAUGUGACAUGUAGUUAAAAAAAAAAAAUUAUCCCAAAACACUAAUGAAAUUAAUGGCUUGGAAUAUUUUAGUUCCUGUCAGCCCUGUGGAAAUUUCUUACCAAUUCAAUUAACUAAUACAGAUCAGAGAGGUGUUCAGUUUUUCUAAGUGUGUCACUGAAUUAAAAUGAAAGGUGUAUUUUGGUAUGAGAUGUCCUUGGGUCCUGAGAGUGACUCAGCCACCUCGUAGCAUCCUGGACAAGGGACAGUACUUCACUGAGCUUGACUGUACUGUAGUGAAGUGCUGAAUUAGAUGAGAUUGCAUAUGGAAGAUGCUUGGUCUAAUCCUCAAGUUUUGCUAGGCCCUCAAUUCAGUUUUUGACACCUCUUUUUUAUUCUUAUCUUUUGGCUAUAAAUGAUAGAAGAUUGAUAAUAACUAAUGAAGUAGAUUACCAUAUAAUUAUUUGAACUUGUUUAGGAAUUUAGGGCAUUUAACAAAGGGUCAUUAGUUGACUGAAUGUCUGUUUUGUAUUAUGUAAAGAAAAGGUCGCAUCUGGAUACCUUUGUGUUGAUGGAGGCAUGACUAAUACAUCAAAUAGAUCAAGCCAGUGAAUGUGAGUCAUCCCAGGGCUGGGAAGCUGUCCUCUGGAUAUCAUUGCUGAUCCUUUUUAAAGUCUGUAAAGUCUAAAUGUAAAUUAAGGAGUUUCCAAGUGUUUUACUCUUUGCUGCAUUAUGCAAAAUUAAAUUCAUGUUUUUAGUUCUGUUUUGAAAAGGAAUUAUCCUGAAGCAAUUAAAUCUAUAUUAAAUCAUUUGGAAAGAAGUAGAACAUUUUUGGAAUUUUUUUCACUGAAUUGUGUUUAGUUGUUAUAGACUAAUGAGCCCUCAGAGUCCUCCAGAGGCUUACAUAUUCAGAUAUUGAAAACACAUUUAAAAAUUUGUUAGAACUCAUUUGAAGAUUCUGAUGUUUUCUUAAAGUUGAAUUACAGAAUGCUAUCUAUAAGACUGCAUAAAAUGCUAAAUGUUCUGUGAUCAAUUAAAUGCUAAAUGCUCUAUUUUCAAUUAUCUUUCAACUGUCAUUCAGGAAUUUUGCUCAUAUGCAGAGAAUGACCUAGCU
Capra hircus (goat) is the source of this 3531-nucleotide long non-coding RNA. The record is from Ensembl. NCBI's taxonomy places the organism in Eukaryota, Metazoa, Chordata, Mammalia, Artiodactyla, Bovidae.